AUUGAACGCUGGCGGCAUGCUUUACACAUGCAAGUCGAACGGCAGCACAGGGAGCUUGCUCCUGGGUGGCGAGUGGCGAACGGGUGAGUAAUGUAUCGGAACGUGCCUGGUAGUGGGGGAUAACUACUCGAAAGAGUGGCUAAUACCGCAUGAGAUCUUUGGAUGAAAGCGGGGGACCUUCAGGCCUCGUGCUACUGGAGCGGCCGAUAUCAGAUUAGGUUGUUGGUGGGGUAAAGGCCUACCAAGCCUGCGAUCUGUAGCUGGUCUGAGAGGACGACCAGCCACACUGGGACUGAGACACGGCCCAGACUCCUACGGGAGGCAGCAGUGGGAAUUUUGGACAAUGGGCGCAAGCCUGAUCCAGCAAUGCCGCGUGCAGGACGAAGGCCUUCGGGUUGUAAACUGCUUUUGUACAGAACGAAAAGUCUCUGGCUAAUAUCUAGAGAUCAUGACGGUACUGUAAGAAUAAGCACCGGCUAACUACGUG
RNAcentral lists this ribosomal RNA (487 nucleotides) under uncultured bacterium. RNAcentral's name for it is "partial 16S ribosomal RNA". It matches the Rfam family "Bacterial small subunit ribosomal RNA", at positions 30 to 507 of the family's 1533-position model. The record is from RNAcentral.